This is a long non-coding RNA of Heterocephalus glaber (naked mole-rat), 1037 nucleotides long. NCBI's taxonomy places the organism in Eukaryota, Metazoa, Chordata, Mammalia, Rodentia, Bathyergidae. The record is from Ensembl.
GUUUGAUUUUUAUUUAUUUUUCUUUAUUAGGAAAGCACUUUCACAAGCAUGUCAUUAAAGUCUCAUGACUUUUCCUUCAAAGGAAGAGGAGGUACACUUGGUGUUGUAUUUACAUUAAAAGACAUCUUGAACUCUGUUACUUACAGGGAACUCAACUAGGCCACUAAAUCCUCUCGGCUUUUAAAUAAAGAUGAUAAUAAUUACGUAUGUUCUAUCUAUCUCUCAGCGUAUCAUUAUAAAAAUGGAAGCAGCUCAUUUGUGUGAAUAUGACUAGCAGACCAUUAUGUGUGCUUUUAAUAGCAUAGGUUAUAUUCACAUUGUACAGAAAAUGGAAAGGCUAAGUGGUGAUCAAAAGAUAAUUAACCUAGUUAGGUGAGGCUGGGUUUAUGGCCUAAGGUCUAGGUCUCCAAAUUACUCUUAAGUACUGCUUUGACCCAUGCUUUGGACAGUGGUUAAUAAAUAAAAAAUUCACAUAGUCUGGGGAUUUCCUCAGUUUUCCUUUUGGAUUAAAGAGUCAGACUUAGUUGGUUCCCAGGAUCUUCUAGCUGCAAACUAUAACAAUCAAGUACCGGGUUGUCCAAGUGGCUCAGAGGGCACGAUUGCCCUAGAACGGUACAAGCAUCCUAAACAGUGGCUGAAGAGCUCUCUGUGGAAAGCAGACAGGAAUUUCCUUCGCUUCUGUGAGAAGAAGGGGCAAGAACCAAGAAGAUGGUUUGAGGUUCGAACCAUGACUCAGUUCACGUAGACUUUCUGCAAGAGGGGAAGGAAAAAAAGGCAGAAGAUGGAUUUCUAAGAUUCAAGGUCAAGCUUUCAGUGAAAUCUUCUAAACACACAAAUGGCCUUGCCUGAGGUCUUCUGGGGUUGUUUGUUCUCUUUGUUUUGUUUCAGUGGAUUCAUGUGGACAUUAGGAAAAUAAAAAGGAGCUAUAAAAAUGUAAGCCUCUUUCCUCCCUCCCCUACAAUUCUUAAAAAAUUGGCUUUGGACAUCUCUCUCACCAGAUCACAUACAGAAUAGAAUAAAAACACCAAACAAACAAG